GAUAAGAUAAGCUAAGAUUAAGCUAGUGGGCUCAUAACCCAAAAAUGAUUAUUUCCCUUAUCA
Molecule: transfer RNA, 63 nt
Filed under: Lanceolaria lanceolata
Lineage: Eukaryota; Metazoa; Mollusca; Bivalvia; Unionida; Unionidae
Description: tRNA-Met
Source: RNAcentral